UGGGGAAUAUUGGACAAUGGGCGAAAGCCUGAUCCAGCCAUGCCGCGUGUGUGAAGAAGGUCUUCGGAUUGUAAAGCACUUUAAGUUGGGAGGAAGGGCAGUAAGCGAAUACCUUGCUGUUUUGACGUUACCGACAGAAUAAGCACCGGCUAACUCUGUGCCAGCAGCCGCGGUAAUACAGAGGGUGCAAGCGUUAAUCGGAAUUACUGGGCGUAAAGCGCGCGUAGGUGGUUCGUUAAGUUGAAUGUGAAAGCCCCGGGCUCAACCUGGGAACUGCAUCCAAAACUGGCGAGCUAGAGUAGGGCAGAGGGAGGUGGAAUUUCCUGUGUAGCGGUGAAAUGCGUAGAUAUAGGAAGGAACACCAGUGGAGAAGGCGACCACCUGGGCUCAUACUGACACUGAGGUGCGAAAGCGUGGGGAGCAAACAGG
Molecule: ribosomal RNA, 429 nt
Filed under: Pseudomonadota bacterium
Lineage: Bacteria; Pseudomonadati; Pseudomonadota
Description: Proteobacteria bacterium partial 16S ribosomal RNA
Rfam family: Bacterial small subunit ribosomal RNA
Source: RNAcentral